RNAcentral lists this ribosomal RNA (425 nucleotides) under uncultured bacterium. Its description in RNAcentral is "partial 16S ribosomal RNA". It matches the Rfam family "Bacterial small subunit ribosomal RNA", at positions 354 to 796 of the family's 1533-position model. The record is from RNAcentral.
GUGGGGAAUAUUGGACAAUGGGCGCAAGCCUGAUCCAGCCAUGCCGCGUGAGUGAUGAAGGCCUUAGGGUUGUAAAGCUCUUUCAGUGGGGACGAUAAUGACGGUACCCACAGAAGAAGCCCCGGCUAACUUCGUGCCAGCAGCCGCGGUAAUACGAAGGGGGCUAGCGUUGUUCGGAUUUACUGGGCGUAAAGCGCACGUAGGCGGAUCGUUAAGUCGAGGGUGAAAUCCUGGAGCGCAACUCCAGAACUGCCUUCGAUACUGGCGAUGUUGAGUCCGGAAGAGGUGAGUGGAACUCCUAGGGUAGAGGUGGAAUUCGUAGAUAUUAGGAAGAACACCAGUGGCGAAGGCGGCUCACUGGUCCGGUACUGACGCUGAGGUGCGAAAGCGUGGGGAGCAAACAGGAUUAGAAACCCGGGUAGUCC